CGAUAACAUUGGUUUCUAAGGGUCGGCCACAUUAAAAACUAGCCAAAAAAUAAAUAAAUAAAUAACAAGUAAAUAAGCCUGGCUUAUUACGUAUCCGUCUCUCCCAUGCGAUCAUUGCAGCGCCAUGGAUCUGGUGGACAUUGAUCAGGUCUUGGAUAACCUGGAAUUACGCAUUGCCGCCGACGAGCAGGAGAGCAGGAAUGCAGCAGCAGCGGCAGCAGCAGCAGCAUCAGCUGCAGCAGCGGCGUCAGUGGCAGCUGCAACGGUAGACUCUACGCCCACGCGCCCACUAGGAGACGGAGCCAGUGCUUCCAAUGAGGGUGGAACAGCUGUUCGUCGGAAAACUACAUCUGGACACCGGCGUCUUCAGGAUUCUGGCGUUUGGUGCGAUGGAAAGACCGACAAGGUCGCGUGUGCCGUGGGGAAUGGGGCCUGCUUCACCUCUGCCUGUACCGGCAGUCGGGGUCGCCUGCCUGGAUGGCAGCAGUCGGCGCGUACUCUUGUGGAAGAAGGUGGAGAAGCCGCGUACCCUGGUCUUCGAGCCGCGUCGCGGCUACAUAUACUGGACAGAGUCGCCCUCGGACUCCAUACGCCGCGCCACGAUGGACGGAUCCGAGCUGCAAUCAUGGCCGGGAGCUCAUAUUCGACCAGGAGACGAGACGCCUCUACUGGAUGGCAAGAAGCGUCGGAUACUGGUUGCCAGCUAGGACUACGUGUACUGGAGCGACUGGAGCACCGCAGACAUUUAUCAAGACGGGCCAGCCGCAGCCGCAGCCUCGCCAAAAACGUGCCCUGCAUCCCCCCCAGCUACGACAGACUGCCCAAAUGUGCCGCUGCCGGUGUCCUGGCAUGUCCAUGAAAGCGAGGCGUCUGCUCUUCUCGACAGAUGUCGGCAGCCAUCAGGCCAUCAUUCGGGCCCGAGUCGAUGGCAAUGAGCGUGUGGAGCUGGAAGGAGUCACGGCGCUGGCCCUGGACUAACAUAUACCAUGCGUAUCGAAGUUAUAGACAUCGAUGGAAAGAACAAGUAAUCAACAUUGCCGCCUUGGGGUGAGGAAUGGACACAUUCGCGGCUAAUGAUGGUGGUGGCAGGACUGGGAGGACUGGCGCGUGGACCCGUUGAGUGCAGCGGUAGUGCGGCUCUUUCCAUUAAAGUAAUUGACAGAGAUUUCUCCACAAUGGCGGGUCAAAACUUGCUGCCCCGUCCCCGGGGUCGACUUAGGCAAGUGUUUGCGUUCCCAGGUAAACACUUGGGUGAUUGGAGGAUAUUUCCACAGCACUGGACGAACCAUGAGGCAGCUGCUGAUUCUGCUGAGGACGCUCCUCGUCCACGGAUUCGUGGCCCUGUUCACCGUGCUCACCCGCGUGCUCCAGGCAGCCCUCAAUCUGUGGCAUUCGCUGGCCCUCUAAUCAUCUAAUGGUCAGUGGAAGGAGACGCCAAAAAAUGAUUGCCCACCCUGGGUGCCUGGUGCCGAUAAGGGCUGUCCGCCUACCUGCCGUUCAAUGUGUGUUUUCUCCACUUAUCGGCAAAGCAAUCAAUACUAAUUACCUUAUCGCCCUCGCACCUCGUCCGCGGGCGCGGUCGUCAGAAGGUAGGGGAAUGACGAUAAUCGCGGUGGAGGAAGGCCUCGCAUUAUCUGAAGACCAGCUAAUGCGAAUUGCCAAUGGCUGCUCGUUCAGGUCGGUUCUACAAUGGGUGUCGGCGCCCGACCCAGCUGCUGUUGCUGCUUUUGUUGGCUGUCUUCCUCCUGGGCACUCUGCUAGUGCUGUACAAGCUCAACCACUCGCCGUUGAUCCACCAGUAUGACAUUAUGCAGGAGUACCUGGAGAGCAACCCCCAGAAGAGCUCUCGAACGCGCUCUAUUCUGCUGUGGAGCAACUUCUUCGGGGAUCCGCGUUGGGGCUUGCCAGCGGACUCGCUGGGGCCGCAGGAGCUGCGCGAGGACCUGCACUGUCCCGUGUAUCAGUGCGAGGUGACCAACAGCCAUGACUUCCUGCCCGCUCUGGAUCUGUACGACGCCAUUGUGUUCCACAUGGCCGAGCAUUUCCCCUUUCUGCAGCCAAUGCCCGCGAGCCGCAGUCCGCACCAGGCCUAUGUGUUCGCCCUGAUGGAGUCGGCUGGCGAGACCAAGCACCGGCUGAGCGACGAGCGGGAUUUCUAUAACCUCACCAUGACCAAUCGCCUUGACUCGGACGUGGUGUGGCCCUAUGGCCAGCUGCAGGACAUGGAAACGGGUGCCGUGGUGGCCCCCAGUGCCCAGCCCCACUGGCGCCAGCCGCCCACAAAAGGUACCUGGAAUGACACCCGGGCAGAGGGACUGUGGCAGAGCAAGACCAAGAUGGCAGCGUGGUUCGUGUCCCACUGCCAGACGCUGUCUCGGCGCGAGAACCUCACGGCGGCCCUGCAGGAGCAUUUCGAGGUGGACGUAUACGGCAAGUGCGGACCCCUUAGCUGUGACCGCGGCGACCCGCACUGCGAUGAGAUGCUGGACACGGACUACAUGUUCUAUCUGGCCUUUGAGAACUCGCUGUGCGAGGACUAUGUGACGGAGAAGCUCUUUGGGGUGCUGGAGCGCCACAUCAUACCCGUGGUGUUUGGCGGGGCCGAUUACACGCGCUUCCUGCCACCGCACUCCUACAUCGACGCGAAUCGCUUCGACAGCGCCCUCGAGCUGGCCGAGCACAUGCGUUUCGUGGCCGGCGAUUUGGAGGAGUACACGAGCUACUUCUGGUGGCGCCAGCACUACCGCCUGGUCACCGUCUCCCCCUUCUGCGACCUUUGCGCCCGUUUGCACUCGUCCGCUCAGCGACAUAGGUCCCAGGUGUACGGCGACAUCGAGUCCUGGUGGUUCAACAGCUGCCGGUUCAAGGCAAACAUCCGGUUUUGAGGGCGACGCACGAAAAGGAACAGGACGGCGCUAUGCGACAGCCGCACGCGAGAAAGCGGGAUAGCAGGCAUGCGACUGUUUGCAUACGAUAUGGGAAACUUUUUCUUGUGUCUCCUGCUCCAACCGUCAUGGCCGUGCCCACCUACCAAAAUUUGUGUGACAAAACUCGAAGCCCCGGCCCGAAAGAUAUGCGGGGAGCCGGCUACGACUACGAUUUGACAUUACCACCGUCCAAUGCAGCACUGACUCAUCCACAAUCGCAGCUACAACCCAUCCAAAAGCGUCAGAUUAUCGCCAUUAUGAGCCUCUAGGGGCGAUAAGAGUACACACACUUACACAUACACGUAAGAGCGCACACACACGCACCUUUGUGUAAGUUUCAUUUGUUUCGAUUUCUAUGUAGACCAUCAUUAUUUCUUCCAAUUUCCAGCUGUACCCCUCUCCUGUAUUACUAUUUUGAUAAUUAGUUGAGCUUAGUCAGUAAGGAUAAUCUAUAGAACAACUAAAAUUAGUAGCUCCAUAUGUUUGUCAUAUGCGUGCCAGUUUGUGGUGGAAUUUUAGGGUAACUCUCUGAUGUUUCUAACUUAUUUUAUAACUAUUUUAUGUUCUUGCUUUGGCAGAUUUUUCAUAGAUUAAGGGUUUUUAAUGCCCGUAAUCUGAUGUUGAUUGUUGUUUAGCGGGCCCUAAAUGUUCAUUAAACCAUUCUAAGACCUUUUUAAAGAUGAUUUUUAAGCAAGUGAAGGACUGCAACUAAAGCAUUAAAUUUUUCUUGACCCUUCCAUUCUUUUUCCCUUUAUUAAUUUGUUCUUGCGAUCAAGUUUUAGCUGAAAGUAUUUUCUAUGGAAUCAGGUAGUUCUUUCAUAUUUCUAUUUAUUAUUAUUUAUUUUUACGCAUUCAGGGGCUCAAGUUGGAAGCAUUUUGUAUACCAAAUGUCUGAUAAAUCUGUUCAAAAUAUUCCGAUUCAUAUCAGUUUUUAUUUUACUUUUAAAUCGUUAAGACGUCUUCAGUUUGGGGGUUCCUGAUAAUACGGAUGCUCUCCUAGGCGGGUCUGCCUCACGCAGAAGCAUCUUCUAUUGGCUAUAGUUUCCGUUAAUAAUUCGGUAGGGUGUGAGAUGUGCUUCAUGCAAUGGAUUCUGCCGAGAAUGCAUGGGAUCGCAUGCGGGUAGCCUGCAUGCACUGGAAGUCCGAAUUUGCAUUUUUUUAAGUGUUCGAAAGCAUUUGAGAAAUUUAAUUCCAUUUAAGCGCUUAAAUUGUGAGGAUUUUUGUUUCCUGUGGACGUACUAAUUGGGAUUUAGUCUAGUGUCUAUGGUUAUAGUUAAUCAUUAGCAAGAUCUGCUUCACUAUCAUUCGAUUACACAUACCUGUCAUGAUCCUCCAUAUGGCUAUAAAUAAUAAUUGCUUAAGUUUUGGCAAAAAAAUGAACAAAACUCACGGGCAUGCGAUUUGGCUUACCUCAGCAGUCGGGAGGCUCUCCCGUUCUUUUUUCUUGGGAGCCUUAUUAUCUUCGUCCUUGUCGCCUUCCCGCUUCCUCUUUCUUUCCAUAAUGGUAUCAAAAUAUACUUGCAGUAGAUAUAUAGACAUUUAUUGGAGAAUACUCGUAGUCGCGCGUCGCAGCUGUUCUUGGGAUAGGAUGGGAUGCUGUCGAUGGCGAUUUCAGAAUGGACAUAUAUGUAUAUUUAAUGGAUUAUCUUUUCUAACUUUAUAAUUAGAAAGUCAGAGCUCGGUCACAAAUCUAGGCCACCUUCUGAUAUAUUAAAGUUUUCCAAUUUGAUUGGUAUUUAUCAUCGUUAUAGAAUUUAAGAUGCCUGCAAAGCAUUCUGAGAUAGGGUUCUUGAGACUCAGAGCCCUCGUUUCGAACGUUUGGCGCUUCUCCAGGGCUGCGCACUUGGGGAGGCGCACGCGUCGCGAUAUUCGUGCGUCGUGCGUCGUGCGUCGUGCCUCGUGUAUUCCAAAUGUCAAGUGUCAAACGAUGACGUCUCUGACGGACGGAAGCUGCUAUUGUUUCUUAUUGUUUUCCUUCGGUGAAGCUUUUUCGAAGCUUCUGGAGCUAUUCUGGAGAGCAACAUAGAGUUCCUGCGGGAGAGGGACACACACCCCCACGUCAGCUGUGGGCUCCGCUGUGUAUAUGUGUGUGUGUGCUUUUGGGGCGCUUUCGCGUAGAAGCUUUUUUGGGCCGCAGCUUUUUGAAGGAUACUGUGUGUGGCACGGCACUGCUCUGCUCUGCUCUGAAAGCACUUCCUAUGGAAAUUCAUGACAUUUAACUCAUUCUGUGCUAGAUUUCCCGAUAGUUCAAAUCAGAGGUAACACAAAUCGAGGAGAUUACGGCAGUAAAACCCCCAAGUAAAUAAGAAAGAGCCAGCAGACAACCAUAAACCAAAAACCAAACCAAACCAAACCAAAACCACGCUCAACGCUCAAUACCUCGGCCUAAAAAAUAUCCAGAACUAAAGUAAAUUCAAGAAAUUUCAUUGAUUUUCGGCAAGAAGUGUGUGUGCUGUGCCACGAGGAAACGAAUGUACGAACGCAAUUGUUUUUCCUGAAUUUCCCCCCUUCACCCAAUAAAGUGCGCAAGAGUGAGACUGUCCAAAUCACCACCACCACUACCACCUACCCAGUCAGUCCAUCAUUCAGUCCUACGUAGAAGCAAACCUCUAUCUCUGUCCAGUAUCCAGUAUCCAGUAAUCCAGUAUCCAGUCAUCCUUCUGAAGCUUCUGAAGCAGUUGUGGGA
Drosophila miranda is the source of this 5613-nucleotide RNA transcript. It is a transcript of the gene named alpha-(1,3)-fucosyltransferase C, with no coding region annotated. Lineage: Eukaryota; Metazoa; Arthropoda; Insecta; Diptera; Drosophilidae. The transcript is spliced from 8 exons. The record is from RefSeq and is a predicted model, not a curated record.